Musa acuminata subsp. malaccensis (wild Malaysian banana) is the source of this 1312-nucleotide non-coding RNA. Lineage: Eukaryota; Viridiplantae; Streptophyta; Magnoliopsida; Zingiberales; Musaceae. The record is from RefSeq and is a predicted model, not a curated record.
AAUUCCAACCCCAAAGCAAGCGGAUAGCACACGACGCGAGGCUGAGGCUGAGAUUUUUACGACCCUCUUCGACUGCCAUCUCCAUCUCCCUCUCCCGUCUCACAAAUGUAUAUAAUAAAUAUAUUUAUAGCUUCGUCCGCAGCCUCUGUUUGGUUGGUAGCCUUACCGAUUAGGUGAAGGGCAGAAGAAGACAUGAUCGCCUCAGCGACCGCCGCCUCUUCGUCGUCGCUGGCGAUUGCCGUCCCCCACAGCGGUCGACUUCGGAAAUCCUCCCUCCUCCUGUCUCGCACCAAUAUCGCCGUCAGAAGGAAUUUCCCAAGUGUGGUGAAGGCAUCAGCUCGCGUCGAUAAAUACUCUAAGAGUGACAUAAUUGUUUCACCAUCCAUUCUCUCCGCUAACUUUUCCAAGUUAGGCGAGCAGGUUAAAGCUGUCGACGUGGCAGGGUGUGACUGGAUUCAUGUUGAUGUAAUGGAUGGACGCUUUGUGCCAAAUAUCACAAUAGGACCUUUAGUUGUUGAUGCCUUGCGCCCCGUGACUGAUCUUCCAUUGGAUGUGCAUUUGAUGAUCGUAGAACCUGAGCAGCGGGUUCCAGAUUUUAUCAAGGCAGGUGCAGACAUUGUCAGUGUUCAUUGCGAACAGUCGUCUACCAUUCACUUGCAUCGGACAAUUGAUCAGGUAAAGAGUCUGGGAGCAAAAGCUGGAGUUGUUUUAAACCCUGCAACCCCAUUAAGUGCCAUAGAGUAUGUGCUAGAUGUGGUGGAUCUUGUCUUAAUUAUGUCAGUCAAUCCUGGGUUUGGUGGCCAGAGUUUUAUUGAAAGUCAGGUGAAGAAAAUUUCAGAUUUGAGGAGGUUAUGCGCUGAAAAGGGUGUGAAUCCAUGGAUUGAAGUGGAUGGUGGUGUUGGUCCUUCAAAUGCAUAUAAGGUUAUUGAAGCUGGCGCUAAUGCUAUAGUUGCAGGUUCUGCAGUCUUUGGUGCCAAAGAUUAUGCAGAAGCAAUAAGAGGCAUAAAGACUAGCAAAAGGCCUUUGGCAGUUGCAGCAUAAAGGACAUUCUCCCCAGUAAGGAUUACUUGGAUGGCUUUAUUUAUCGGGGUUCACUCCACUCAACAAAAAGAAAAUAAAGAAGUCUACGACGGCAUCCGAUCGACUGUUCAAUGAUGCUCGAAGCUAUUUUGUGCAGAUAUAAGUAUUCCUUUUACAAAUUAUGAUGUAACUUGAAAUUGCUGAGAGUUGUUUAUUACAAGUUGCAGUGAGAAUAAGGAUGUGGAUUAUAAUUCUAUUACAUUAUCUAUACUCUCCUGUUUGUUCCCUUGAG